GACGAACGCUGGCGGCGUGCUUAACGCAUGCAAGUCGAACGGAAAGGCCCUUCGGGGUACUCGAGUGGCGAACGGGUGAGUAACACGUGGGUGAUCUGCCCUGCACUUUGGGAUAAGCCUGGGAAACUGGGUCUAAUACCGAAUAGGACCACGCGCUUCAUGGUGUGUGGUGGAAAGCUUUUGCGGUGUGGGAUGGGCCCGCGGCCUAUCAGCUUGUUGGUGGGGUAAUGGCCUACCAAGGCGACGACGGGUAGCCGGCCUGAGAGGGUGACCGGCCACACUGGGACUGAGAUACGGCCCAGACUCCUACGGGAGGCAGCAGUGGGGAAUAUUGCACAAUGGGCGCAAGCCUGAUGCAGCGACGCCGCGUGAGGGAUGACGGCCUUCGGGUUGUAAACCUCUUUCACCAGGGACGAAGCGUAAGUGACGGUACCUGGAGAAGAAGCACCGGCCAACUACGUG
Molecule: ribosomal RNA, 462 nt
Filed under: uncultured bacterium
Lineage: Bacteria
Description: partial 16S ribosomal RNA
Rfam family: Bacterial small subunit ribosomal RNA
Source: RNAcentral